UAAAUUAAUUUAGUAUGUUUAAGUAAUUUAUAAUAAAUAAAAUAAUAUUAAAUAUUAAAAUGUUGGAGUAUUAAUUUAGAAAUAAUUUAUUUAAUUAAAAAAGUAAUGAAAAUGAAAAUUGUUAAAAAGUAAAAAAAUAGAUUUUAUUUAUUGUACCUUUUGUAUCAGGGUUAAUUAAAUAAAAUAUUUAAAUAAAAUAUUUCUCGAAUUUAAAAGAUUUAAUUAAAAAUGUUAGUUAAUGUUGAAAUAUUAUUAAUAAUUUUUAGUUAGAAGUGAAAUAUUAAUCGAUUUUAAAGAUAUCUAGUUUUUUUAGAAAUGAAUAUAAUUCAGCAUUAUAAAUUAUAUAUUUGUUUAAUUGUAAAAAAUUAUUAAAAAUUUAUAAAUUUAUAAGGUAAGUAUUUUUGGGAUAAGCUAGGAAUAUAUAAAUAAUUUUUUUAUAUAAGUUAUAUAAAUAUUCAUGAAAUUUGAAUUUUUUAAAAAAAAUGUUAUAAUUUAUAAUAAUAUAAAUUUUAAUUUAUAAAUAAAAUUUUUAAUUGUAUAAAAAAAAUAUAUUAAAUAAUAAAAUUAUAUGAUAUAAUGAUUAAAUUAGUAAAUUUUUAAAAUAUGUAUGAUAAAUUAUUGAAGGUAAAAUUUAUUUUAAGGAAUUCGACAAUUUUUUUUUGAAAAAUAAAAUAUGUAUUCACCUGUUUAUCAAAAACAUGUCCUAUUAGAUAAUAAUAUUAGGUCUAUUCUGCCCAUUGAUGGAAUAUUAAAAGGCUGCAGUAUAUUGACUGUACAAAGGUAGCAUAAUCAAUAGUUUUUUAAUUGGAAACUGGAAUGAAAGAGUGGAUGAGAUAUAAAUUGUCUCAAGAUAAUAUAUUGAAUUUAAAUUAAAAGUAAAAAUGCUUUUAUGAAAUUAUUAGACGAGAAGACCCUAUAGAAUUUAAUAAAAUUUAUUUUUUAAGUAUUUUAUGUUAUAAUUGCUUAAUAAGUAAUUAUAUUUUAUUGGGAGGAUAUUUAAAUUUAACUAACUUUAAUUAAAGUAAACAUUAAUUAAUGAAUUUGUUGAUUAUUAUUAUAAUUAUAAGAAUAAAUUACCUUAGGGAUAACAGCGUAAUAAUUUUGGAGAGUUCAUAUCGAUAAAAUUGUUUGCGACCUCGAUGUUGAAUUAUGAUAAAAAUUAGAUGGAGAUAUCUAAAAUUUUAGUCUGUUCGACUAUUAAAAUCAUACAUGAUUUGAGUUCAGAUCGGCGCAAGCCAGAUCGGUUUCUAUCUAUAGUAUAAAUAAAUAUUUUAUUGUACGAAAGGACUUAAAAUAUUAAAAAUUUUAUAUAAAUUAAUUAUUUAAUAUAGUUUUAUAUUAAAAAAUUGAUUUUGAAUUAAAUUAAUUUAU
This 1371-nucleotide ribosomal RNA is filed under the name Vespula flaviceps. Its description in RNAcentral is "16S ribosomal RNA". The record is from RNAcentral. Lineage: Eukaryota; Metazoa; Arthropoda; Insecta; Hymenoptera; Vespidae.